This is a long non-coding RNA of Corvus hawaiiensis (hawaiian crow), 828 nucleotides long. RefSeq lists it as uncharacterized. The record is from RefSeq and is a predicted model, not a curated record. NCBI's taxonomy places the organism in Eukaryota, Metazoa, Chordata, Aves, Passeriformes, Corvidae. The transcript has 2 exons.
AUUGGCGGAAGACCACGAGGACUUCGUCUCAUCCGUUGAAGAACUCCGAGGGACAUGAAGAAUCCGGCAUGGUCCCUCAAACAAGUUAAAUUGCUGAUGCAAAACAAUGUCUCAGAAGUUCAGCCAGCUUGUUCACCUUUUCUGCAAACUUCCUUCGAGGGGUGGACAACCUGGUUGCAAAAGCGGAACCCUUCUAAGAAACGAACGCAAAGAGACAUAACCGGUGUUAUGGGAACAGGAUUGGGAAUCUUAAAUAGUAUUGAUUCAGAAGUACUAAUGAAUAAAUUGGCUGCCACAACUACAGAUUUGACUAAAAUACAACAACCACUACAGUCAUCCCUAUUAGCCUUGGGAAGCCAUCAGUGGUUGUUAUCAAACAUAUUACCAAAUUGGGAAAAGGUAAAUGUGAAUGACCACAAAUUGAUAAUUGACGCACUCGAUGCUACACAAAACAACAUUUCUUUGGCUCUCAGCUGCAUCCAGGCUCAAUUAUGGAUGCAGUCAGUUGCUGCCUCAAUUAUAAGAGAAGGCGAAGAAGGCACUUUUCCUACUGAAAUUCGGAAAAUCAUCUGGGACAGUGCCACUGAUUUUGAAAGAGAAUUCCAAUCCUGGUGGAACUUAGUAAAUUUUACCUACGAUCCCCUCACAAACACAGCCACAGCCUUUGUUCUAACCAUACGUAAUGCUUCAGUGCAUUUGAUAUUCCCUGUCAUUGCAUUAGGGCUGAACCAUGAUGGAGCUGUUCUCUAUCCUUUCGAGCAUAGAGAAUGGGCCCGUCAAAUUGGUGAGAAGUGGCAAACUGUUAAUUUAGAAACUUGUAUUGUCCGA